ACGUCCUGUAUUGCUGUUGGGC
RNAcentral lists this microRNA (22 nucleotides) under Callorhinchus milii (elephant shark). RNAcentral describes it as "eshark_mir-676_1". Lineage: Eukaryota; Metazoa; Chordata; Chondrichthyes; Chimaeriformes; Callorhinchidae. The record is from RNAcentral.